AGUGAACGCUGGCGGUAGGCCUAACACAUGCAAGUCGAACGGCAGCACAGUAAGAGCUUGCUCUUACGGGUGGCGAGUGGCGGACGGGUGAGGAAUACAUCGGAACCUACUUUUUCGUGGGGGAUAACGUAGGGAAACUUACGCUAAUACCGCAUACGACCUACGGGUGAAAGCAGGGGAUCUUCGGACCUUGCGCGAUUGAAUGAGCCGAUGUCGGAUUAGCUAGUUGGCGGGGUAAAGGCCCACCAAGGCGACGAUCCGUAGCUGGUCUGAGAGGAUGAUCAGCCACACUGGAACUGAGACACGGUCCAGACUCCUACGGGAGGCAGCAGUGGGGAAUAUUGGACAAUGGGCGCAAGCCUGAUCCAGCCAUACCGCGUGGGUGAAGAAGGCCUUCGGGUUGUAAAGCCCUUUUGUUGGGAAAGAAAAGCAGCAGGUUAAUACCUCGCUGUUCUGACGGUACCCAAAGAAUAAGCACCGGCUAACUUCGUG
This 492-nucleotide ribosomal RNA is filed under the name uncultured bacterium. RNAcentral's name for it is "partial 16S ribosomal RNA". It matches the Rfam family "Bacterial small subunit ribosomal RNA", at positions 29 to 507 of the family's 1533-position model. The record is from RNAcentral.